GUAGGGGGCAAGCGUUAUCCGGAUUUACUGGGUGUAAAGGGAGCGUAGACGGUAAAGCAAGUCUGAAGUGAAAGCCCGGGGCUCAACCCCGGGACUGCUUUGGAAACUGUUUAACUAGAGUGCUGGAGAGGUAAGCGGAAUUCCUAGUGUAGCGGUGAAAUGCGUAGAUAUUAGGAGGAACACCAGUGGCGAAGGCGGCUUACUGGACAGUAACUGACGUUGAGGCUCGAAAGCGUGGGGAGCAAACAGGAUUAGAUACCCUGGUAGUCCGCGCCGUAAACGAUGAAUACUAGGUGUUGGGGGACAAAGUCCUUCGGUGCCGUCGCAAACGCAAUAAGUAUUCCACCUGGGGAGUACGUUCGCAAGAAUG
Molecule: ribosomal RNA, 370 nt
Filed under: uncultured bacterium
Lineage: Bacteria
Description: bacterial SSU rRNA
Rfam family: Bacterial small subunit ribosomal RNA
Source: RNAcentral